RNAcentral lists this ribosomal RNA (441 nucleotides) under uncultured bacterium. RNAcentral describes it as "partial 16S ribosomal RNA". It matches the Rfam family "Bacterial small subunit ribosomal RNA", at positions 338 to 795 of the family's 1533-position model. The record is from RNAcentral.
CCUACGGGCGGCAGCAGUGGGGGAUAUUGCACAAUGGGGGAAACCCUGAUGCAGCGACGCCGCGUGUGGGAAGACGGUCUUCUGGAUUGUAAACCACUGUCCCCAGGGACGAAAAUGACGGUACCUGGGGAGGAAGCUCCGGCUAACUACGUGCCAGCAGCCGCGGCAAUACGGAGGGAGCAAGCGUUGUCCGUAAUUACUGGGCGUAAAGGGAGCGGAGGUGGGGAUGCAAGUUGGGUGUCAAAACUACGGGCUCAACCGAUAGUCGGACUCAAAACUGCGACUCUUGAGUGAAGUAGAGGGAGGGGAAAAUCCCAGGGUAGCGGUGAAAUGCGGAGAUAUUAGGAGGGACACCAGUGGCGAAGGCGGCCUGCUGGGCUUAUACUGACGGUGAGGCUCGAAAGUGUGGGGAGCAAACAGGAUUAGAUACCCCUGGUAGUC